CAAACACUGGGACAGGCAGACGCACCGAGCCCCUGCUCGUCCCCGACCUCGGCGGCUCGGCUCCCGAUCUCGCUGCCUCGCCGGACGCCGUCGGACGUCGCUGUCUGCCUCCUCAUCGCUAGACGUCCAGGAGCCGCCCGCAGCGCUCGGCGCCACUGCGCUUCCUUGGUGCCCCUGCAAGCAGGCACCGGCCGCCCAGUCCGCUCUCCGCCGACUCCGGCAGCAAGCCUUGAGUCCGAUUUGAGGACUUGAGGAGGUGUACAAUGAGGCUGUUGAAAGCGGAGGAGUUGUUCCGGAAAUUGCUUGAGGGUGGGUCCAAGAAACAGCCUCGGCUUCUCGGGCUCGAUGUUGGUAGUAAGUACGUCGGGCUGGCAGUUUCUGAUCAGAAAAACAGGAUUGCCUUGCCUCUAAGUGUCUUGGGUAGGACAAAGACAAACAUUAAUUUGAUGGCAGAUGAUUUCAAAACACUGGUUAAAAACUACUCCCUUGCUGGGCUUGUUGUGGGUUAUCCAUUCAACCUACAGGGUCAAUCUUCUCCAGAUGCAUCACAAGUAAGCCUUCUUGUAGGAGAGCUUUGUAAAACUGGGAAACUUGAUGAUUUGAGCUACACAUAUUGGGAUGAAAAUUUUACCUCAAAGUUUGCAUACUCCAGGUGCGCCCACCAAAUCCAGGAUGACAUCAUACUCCAGUCACUCGGUUCAUGUUUUCAGUUGUCAUAACCAUUAUAGUAGAUCUUUGGGUCGUUCAGUUGAGAACUGCUAUUAGACGCAUUGAGAAUUUUCCUUUGUGGACAGGGUUAUUUAGAUAACAUGAACAGGGCAUUGAGAUCUGCAGAUAAGUGUGAAGAGUAACUUGAGCUCAGCUUCUGGUCAAUGAACAGUUACCUCUUAAAGGUUCUUCAGCCUUGCAGUCUUUGGUCGAAGCAUGGUUCUGAAAGCAUUUCCGUUUCCUGUAACAUUCAGUUGGUCGAGAUGUGAACUUAGCUCCGAGUCGGUGCGUCGUUAGGCCUCUGAUCUGAUGUAGGUGCAGAGCUGACAUAUUCCGCUGACAGCACAUCACCUGUGCUAAUGCAAAUGCAGCUCUCGUACUUGUCCGCUGGAGGCAAAUUAGUCGCAACUGAUGCUAAUCUAUUGGGAAGAUCCUUUCUCCCCUUCUUUCCUUGCAACCUCAUCCUGCUUAUGAGAUUCUCGGCAUAAGCUGAUGAUGAUGCCGCAUGCUCGGUAAUGACCGUC
Non-coding RNA from Aegilops tauschii subsp. strangulata, 1232 nucleotides. The record is from RefSeq and is a predicted model, not a curated record. Lineage: Eukaryota; Viridiplantae; Streptophyta; Magnoliopsida; Poales; Poaceae.